This 214-nucleotide unclassified non-coding RNA is filed under the name uncultured Russula. RNAcentral describes it as "sequence contains ITS2". Lineage: Eukaryota; Fungi; Basidiomycota; Agaricomycetes; Russulales; Russulaceae. The record is from RNAcentral.
AUCUUCUCAACCUUAUUGGUUUCAUUGAGACCAACAAGACUUGGACUUUGGAGGUUUUUCUUGCUGGCCUUGUUUUCAAGUCAGCUCCUCCUAAAUGAAUUGGUGGGGUCCGCAUUAGUCGAUCCUUGACGUGAUAAGCAUUUCUUCUACGUCAUGUCGGCUCGGAACCUGCUUUCUAACCCUAGAGUUACAUGUACCUCUACCAUUUUAUAAA